UGACCAUGGUCGGCAGUGAUCAGAAGGU
RNAcentral lists this non-coding RNA (28 nucleotides) under Mus musculus (house mouse). The record is from RNAcentral. RNAcentral also lists the same sequence under 1 other name. Lineage: Eukaryota; Metazoa; Chordata; Mammalia; Rodentia; Muridae.